This 253-nucleotide ribosomal RNA is filed under the name uncultured bacterium. RNAcentral describes it as "partial 16S ribosomal RNA". It matches the Rfam family "Bacterial small subunit ribosomal RNA", at positions 524 to 776 of the family's 1533-position model. The record is from RNAcentral.
UACGUAGGGUGCAAGCGUUGUCCGGAAUUAUUGGGCGUAAAGAGCUCGUAGGCGGUCUGUCGCGUCGGCUGUGAAAACCCGGAGCUCAACUCCGGGCCUGCAGUCGAUACGGGCAGACUGGAGUACUGCAGGGGAGACUGGAAUUCCUGGUGUAGCGGUGAAAUGCGCAGAUAUCAAGAGGAACACCGGUGGCGAAGGCGGGUCUCUGGGCAGUUACUGACGCUGAGGAGCGAAAGCGUGGGGAGCGAACAGG